Molecule: ribosomal RNA, 1433 nt
Filed under: marine metagenome
Description: bacterial LSU rRNA
Rfam family: Bacterial large subunit ribosomal RNA
Source: RNAcentral
AGCUCACUGGUCGAGCGAUCCUGCGCCGAAAAUGUAACGGGGCUAAAGCAUACUACCGAAGCUACGGGAUUAUCACUUAUGCACAGAUUUUAGCGAUUUAAUAUCGUUAGAAUUUGUGUAUUAAGUGAUAAUCGGUAGAGGAGCGUUCCGUAUUAGGUCGAAGUCAAACUGAGAAGUUUGGUGGACGAAGCGGAAGUGAGAAUGUCGGCAUGAGUAACGAAAAGAAAGGUGAGAAUCCUUUCCGCCGUAAGUCUAAGGUUUCCUGGGGAAGGUUCGUCCGCCCAGGGUUAGUCGGUCCUAAGGUGAGGUCGAAAGGCGUAGUCGAUGGACAACAGGUUAAUAUUCCUGUACUACCUUUAAAUCGUUAUUAGCGAAGGGGUGACGCAGUAGGAUAGGUCAGCCACUUAUUGGAUUGUGGUUUAAGCUUGUAGGCUUGAGGGAUAGGCAAAUCCGUUCCUCUUUAAGGCUGAGAAGCGAUGACGAGCUGCUUGCAGCGAAGUGAUUGAGUCCACACUGACCAGAAAAACCUCUAGUGAGAUUUAAGGGUAACCGUACUAAAACCAACACAGGUAGACGGGUAGAGAAUACCAAGGCGCGCGGGAUAACUCUCGUUAAGGAACUCGGCAAAAUAGCCUCGUAACUUCGGGAUAAGAGGUGCCCAUUAUGGUGAAAGUCUUUCGACUGGAGCUUAAAUGGGUUGCAAUGAAAUGGCUCAAGCGACUGUUUACCAAAAACACAGGUCUCUGCUAAACCGUAAGGUGAUGUAUAGGGGCUGACGCCUGCCCAGUGCCGGAAGGUUAAUAGGAAGGGUUAGACUUCGGUCGAAGCUCCAAAUUGAAGCCCCGGUGAACGGCGGCCGUAACUAUAACGGUCCUAAGGUAGCGAAAUUCCUUGUCGGGUAAGUUCCGACCCGCACGAAAGGCGUAACGAAUUGAGCGCUGUCUCAACGAGAGACCCGGUGAAAUUGAAUCAUCCGUGAAGAUGCGGAUUACCUGCAGCAAGACAGAAAGACCCCGUGGAGCUUUACUGUAACUUGGCUUUGUUUUUUGGAAUAAUUUGUGCAGUAUAGGUGGGAGACUUUGAAGUAAGGGCGUUAGUCCUUAUGGAGUCACCAGUGAGAUACCACCCUCAUUAUUUUAGAAAACUAACUAAGCACCGUUAUCCGGUGAUAGGACAGAGCCUGGUGGGCAGUUUGACUGGGGCGGUCGCCUCCUAAAGAGUAACGGAGGCGCUCAAAGGUUCCCUCAAGAUGGUUGGAAAUCAUCUGUAGAGCGUAAGGGUAUAAGGGAGCUUGACUGCGAGACCUACAAGUCGAGCAGGGACGAAAGUCGGACCUAGUGAUCCGGUAUCUCCGUAUGGAAGGGAUAUCGCUCAACGGAUAAAAGUUACCCCGGGGAUAACAGGCUAAUCUCCCCCAAGAGUUCACAUCGACG